AGCAGCCGCGGUAAUUCCAGCUCCAAUAGCGUAUAUUAAAGUUGUUGCAGUUAAAAAGCUCGUAGUUGAAUUUCGGGAUUGGCGCAUCGGUCGUGCCUCACGGGGUAUGAACUGGUGCAGUCAAUUUCUCACCUUCUGGAGAACCGCGAUGUCCUUAAUUGGAUGCCGCGGGGAACCAGGACCUUUACUUUGAAAAAAUUAGAGUGUUUAAAGCAGGCAUUUUUGCUUGAAUACAUUAGCAUGGAAUAAUAAAAUAGGACGGCAUGGUUCUAUUUUGUUGGUUUCUAGGACCACCGUAAUGAUUAAUAGGGAUAGUUGGGGGCAUUAGUAUUCAAUUGUCAGAGGUGAAAUUCUUGGAUUUAUUGAAGACUAACUACUGCGAAAGCAUUUGCCAAGGAUGUUUUCAUUAAUCAAGAACGAAAGUUAGGGGAUCGAAGACGAUCAGAUACCGUCGUAGUCUUAACCAUAAACUAUGCCGACUAGGAAUCAGACGAUGUAAUUUUUUAAUGACUCGUUUGGC
Molecule: ribosomal RNA, 520 nt
Filed under: uncultured Entrophospora
Lineage: Eukaryota; Fungi; Glomeromycota; Glomeromycetes; Entrophosporales; Entrophosporaceae
Description: SSU rRNA
Rfam family: Eukaryotic small subunit ribosomal RNA
Source: RNAcentral